Molecule: ribosomal RNA, 464 nt
Filed under: uncultured bacterium
Lineage: Bacteria
Description: partial 16S ribosomal RNA
Rfam family: Bacterial small subunit ribosomal RNA
Source: RNAcentral
CUACGGGCUGCACCAGUGGGGAAUUUUGGACAAUGGACGCAAGUCUGAUCCAGCCAUUCCGCGUGCAGGACGAAGGCCUUCGGGUUGUAAACUGCUUUUGUACAGAACGAAAAGGUUUCUAUUAAUACUAGGGGCUCAUGACGGUACUGUAAGAAUAAGCACCGGCUAACUACGUGCCAGCAGCCGCGGUAAUACGUAGGGUGCAAGCGUUAAUCGGAAUUACUGGGCGUAAAGCGUGCGCAGGCGGUGAUGUAAGACAGAUGUGAAAUCCCCGGGCUCAACCUGGGAACUGCAUUUGUGACUGCAUAGCUGGAGUGCGGCAGAGGGGGAUGGAAUUCCGCGUGUAGCCGUGAAAUGCGUAGAUAUGCGGAGGAACACCGAUGGCGAAGGCAAUCCCCUGGGCCUGCACUGACGCUCAUGCACGAAAGCGUGGGGAGCAAACAGGAUUAGAUACCCCUGUAGUC